This 1085-nucleotide long non-coding RNA is filed under the name Medicago truncatula (barrel medic). Its description in RNAcentral is "long non-coding RNA (MTRU_LNC005624)". Lineage: Eukaryota; Viridiplantae; Streptophyta; Magnoliopsida; Fabales; Fabaceae. The record is from RNAcentral.
ACGCUUGGCCAGUGCGCAUGCCUCUACGCACGAGCCGGAUUAGUCGUCCACCUUUGGUGAGUCGGAAAUCGGUGCGAAAGUCAAUAUUGUUUGUCUCAAAUAAUAUCAUUUCUUUUAUUUUUGCCUUUCGCAUCGGUGCUAAAAAAGUAUAGUAUGAUUCCAAAAUAAAAGUAUUGUUUGGAAUUAUUUCAAAAUAAAAAAGUAUUAUUCACUUAAAUAAUAUUGGAUUUUUAGUCGUCCCAAACAAUAUUAUUUUUGGAUUUUUAGAAAGUGAAUGGAAUGGUACGAAAUAUGAUGGAAGGUAUGAUUCCAUCCCAUUCCGCAAUCUCCUUCUAUUAUUCGGGUAGCACUUAGAUGACAUAGAAUUGAGUGACAUUGAUGACAUUAGUCAAUCAUAAUGUCAUAAUGUUUGCGUUUUUUUCUCUUUCACAAGCAUUGUAACAUUGUGAUUGACCAAUAUUACCAAUGUCACUCAACUUUAUGUCACCCAAGUGUUAUCCCUAUUAUUCAUUCCCCAAGGGAGGUAUGCAAUAGAAUGAAUAUGAUACCCAACAAUUGCAUACCUUACAGCGUUGCUCCGGCUGGAGGAAUGAAAAACUCUGUCUUUGAUCAAGUUCUUCAAUGCUUCCUUGGAACGAAGAAGAUUAUCCAUUAAGAUGGAUUAAUGAUUGUAAUGUACAUCAAACUUGGGUAUUGACGCUUGCAAAAAAAAUAAAAAUCACUCAAUUUCGCCAUUGAGACUCUUUUUGUAACGUUUUAUUUCUUUUCACUUACUUUUUUUCUAUCAUGACUCAGUUGGAGCUCUAAUACUAAUGGUUAGGUAUCAAGAAUUAUGUUUAAAGUUUUGAUUCUCAUUCAUUGCUCAAGAGUGUAUUGCACAAUUCUACAAAGCCAAAUAGGUCCAUCCCAAACAAAUAAGUGCAAUGAGACUUCAACUAGUUUAUUGGCUAUGAGUUACUUUUUUUUGCCACACACAACAUUAGAAUUACGAUUAACAUAAGUGAUUUCUAUGUAUCUUUAGUUUUUCUUCCUUACUUUUUUAUUUUGGGAUUUCGUCAGUGCAAUAUUGUUUGUUUUGAUUUCCC